UUCGGCGGGCCCGCCUCACGGCCGCCGGGGGGCAUCUGCCCCCGGGCCCGCGCCCGCCGAAGACACACAAACGAACUCUUGUCUGAAGAUUGCAGUCUGAGUACUUGACUAAAUCAGUUAAAACUUUCAACAACGGAUCUCUUGGUUCCGGCAUCGAUGAAGAACGCAGCGAAAUGCGAUAAGUAAUGUGAAUUGCAGAAUUCAGUGAAUCAUCGAGUCUUUGAACGCACAUUGCGCCCCCUGGUAUUCCGGGGGGCAUGCCUGUCCGAGCGUCAUUGCUGCCCUCAAGCACGGCUUGUGUGUUGGGCUCUCGCCCCCCGCUUCCGGGGGGCGGGCCCGAAAGGCAGCGGCGGCACCGCGUCCGGUCCUCGAGCGUAUGGGGCUUCGUCACCCGCUCUGUAGGCCCGGCCGGCGCCCGCCGGCGAACACCAUCAAUCUUAACCAGGUUGACCUCGGAUCAGGUAGGGAUACCCGCUGAACUUAAGCAUAUCAAUAAGCGGAGGAAAAGAAACCAACAGGGAUUGCCUCAGUAACGGCGAGUGAAGCGGCAAGAGCUCAAAUUUGAAAGCUGGCUCCUUCGGGGUCCGCAUUGUAAUUUGCAGAGGAUGCUUCGGGAGCGGCCCCCAUCUAAGUGCCCUGGAACGGGCCGUCAUAGAGGGUGAAAAUCCCGUCUGGGAUGGGGUGUCCGCGCCCGUGUGAAGCUCCUUCGACGAGUCGAGUUGUUUGGGAAUGCAGCUCUAAAUGGGUGGUAAAUUUCAUCUAAAGCUAAAUAUUGGCCGGAGACCGAUAGCGCACAAGUAGAGUGAUCGAAAGAUGAAAAGCACUUUGAAAAGAGAGUUAAACAGCACGUGAAAUUGUUGAAAGGGAAGCGCUUGCGACCAGACUCGCCCACGGGGUUCAGCCGGCAUUCGUGCCGGUGUACUUCCCCGCGGGCGGG
RNAcentral lists this ribosomal RNA (937 nucleotides) under fungal endophyte. RNAcentral's name for it is "eukaryotic LSU rRNA". The stretch from base 448 to 937 matches the Rfam family "Eukaryotic large subunit ribosomal RNA", at positions 1 to 495 of the family's 3401-position model. The record is from RNAcentral. Lineage: Eukaryota; Fungi.